This 842-nucleotide ribosomal RNA is filed under the name uncultured crenarchaeote. RNAcentral describes it as "bacterial SSU rRNA". It matches the Rfam family "Archaeal small subunit ribosomal RNA", at positions 85 to 878 of the family's 1478-position model. The record is from RNAcentral. Lineage: Archaea; Thermoproteati; Thermoproteota.
ACGGCUCAGUAACACGUGGUCAACCUGCCCGAAGGACAGCUAUAACCGCGGGAAACUGCGCUAAUGGCUGAUAGAAGAGGUGCCCUGGAACUGGGCCCUCUUUGAAAAGAUCCCGGCUCGAUCCUGUCGAGAUUGCCUUCGGAUGGGACUACGUCCGAUCAGGUUGUUGGCGGGGCAAUGGCCCACCAAGCCUAAGACCGGUACGGGCCCUGAGAGGGGUAGCCCGGAGAUGGGGACUGAGACAAGGCCCUAGGCCCUACGGGGCGCAGCAGGAGCGCAACUUCUACAAUGCGCGAAAGCGUGAUAGAGUCAUCCCAGGUGUCUCCCGCUGAGGGAGGCUUUUCCCCAGUGCAAACAGCUGGGGGAAUAAGGGGGGGGCAAGCCGGGUGUCAGCCGCCGCGGUAAGACCCGCUCCCCGAGUGGUGAGGGUGAUUACUGGGCUUAAAGCGUCCGUAGCCGGCCCUGCAAGUCUCUCGUCAAAUCCAGCGGCCUAACCGUUGGGCUGCGAGAGAUACUGCUUGGCUUGGAGGCGGAAGAGGUCACGGGUAGUCCUCGGGUAGGGGCGGAAUCCUCUGAUCCGAGGAGGACCACCAGUGGCGAAGGCGCGUGGCCAGGACGCGCUCGACGGUGAGGGACGAAAGCUGGGGGAGCGAACCGGAUUAGAUACCCGGGUAGUCCCAGCUGUAAACGAUGCGGACUAGGCGUUGGGGUGGGGAAGGCUUGCCCCGGUGCCGCAGGAAAACCAUUAAGUCCGCCGCUUGGGGAGUACGGCCGCAAGGCUGAAACGUCGCGAGCGAUGGCGCUCUCGACGCAGCUGACUUAAAGGAAUUGGCGGGGGAGCA